GACGAACGCUGGCGGCGUGCUUAACACAUGCAAGUCGAACGGAAAGGCCUGCUUUCCCUUGUGGAUUGCGGGUACUCGAGUGGCGAACGGGUGAGUAACACGUGAGUGAUCUGCCCCCAACUUGGGUAUAAGCCUGGGAAACUGGGUCUAAUUCCCGAUAGGACUGCAGGGUGGUGCCUGUGGUGGAAAACGAUUUUCUAGUGGUUGGGGAUGAGCUCGCGGCCUAUCAGCUUGUUGGUGGGGUAAUGGCCUACCAAGGCGGCGACGGGUAGCCGGCCUGGGAGGGUGGACGGUCACAUUGGGACUGGGAUACGGCCCAGACUCCUACGGGAGGCAGCAGUGGGGAAUAUUGCACAAUGGGCGGAAGCCUGAUGCAGCGACGCCGCGUGGGGGAUGACGGCCUUCGGGUUGUAAACUCCUUUCGACCGCGAGGAAGCCACCUGGUUGGAAGGGUGGUGACGGUAGUGGUAGAAGAAGCACCGGCUAACUACGUG
RNAcentral lists this ribosomal RNA (494 nucleotides) under uncultured bacterium. Its description in RNAcentral is "partial 16S ribosomal RNA". It matches the Rfam family "Bacterial small subunit ribosomal RNA", at positions 28 to 507 of the family's 1533-position model. The record is from RNAcentral.